CUUGCCAUGUGGUUUCUGAGCCAUCUCUCUCUCUCUCAUCUCUCUUUGGCCAGGCGGGCAGGAAGACCUAUGCCAUGGUGUCCGGCCACUCAGCUGGUCAUUCUCUGGCUUCAGAACUGGUGGAGUCCCAUGAUGGACAUGAGGAAAUCAUUAAGGUGUACUUGAAGGGGAGGUCUGGAGAAAAGAUGAUUCACGAGAAGAAUAUUAACCAGCUGAAGAGUGAGGUCCAGUACAUCCAGGAGGCCAGGAACUGCCUACAGAAGCUCCGGGAGGAUAUAAGUAGCAAGCUUGACAGGGACCUAGGAGAUUCUCUCCAUCGACAGGAGAUACAGGUAAUAGGAAAUGGUCCAUGGUUGGGUCCCCACCGAGGAGGUGGGGUUGUGCCAGGCAGUCUCAUUUACCAAUUACCCAGUGUGUGCUAAAUCUAGCAUCCCUGCCAGGAAUGGAGAAAAUAGAGGUGAUGCUGCCUUCUCUGGAGCACUCACAAUCUAGUUAGUACUCUCCAGCCGAUGAGCACUUACAUUUACACAUGUCAGCUUAAACAUAAGUACACCUGCUCCUGAAACACUGUACAGAAAUUGAACUUAUAUAAAUUAAAUAUCAUCAGUUGUUAGCAAAGCCUCUUAUCUAUAAAGAUUCUGUGAUCAAGCUUCUUAUAAUAAUAGAAUUUUAUAAAGCAGACAAUCACCUGUAAAUCCACACUUCUCAUAAGCCGAUCUUGCUUAGUUUGGGUGAUACCU
Molecule: small RNA, 740 nt
Filed under: Pongo abelii (Sumatran orangutan)
Lineage: Eukaryota; Metazoa; Chordata; Mammalia; Primates; Hominidae
Description: retained intron
Source: RNAcentral